AGUAAUUGCCAAAGUUAUCUAGGGAGGAAGGUUCAUGUAAAUGACAUGGUGUCCACAGUCCACAGGUGGGGAUGAAAAGUCGUUCCUUUUCUGGAGUCUCUCACCAUCUGGAGCUCUGAAAAAAAGCAAAACACUUUUUUAUUGUGGUACUGCCAUUUGGACUCCAUUGAAAAAACAAACAAACAAACAAACAAACAGAGUUACUGGAGGAAGAAUCCGAUUCUAGAGGAAUUAUUUUAACUCUGACUUCAGCGGACCUUGGAAAGGAUCCUGAAUUUGAAAUACAUCAUUCUGCCAUCUUAGAAACACAUUUGGCACACCCUGUUUGAAGAUAUCAUAAACGGCAUAUAUGAUCUUUUAUUCAUAAUCUACUGUUGCAGCUGAUACUGUUGGAUUUAACUGUGGUUUUUCGUCAUAGAUAAAUGCAUUCUUUAAAGGGCUUUGAACCAUUUUUAAGUAUGAAUGUACUGUACAGUGUUUUAUGACAACUGGUUGAUUAGCCCUGAUUUGUUUUUCUUUUGGAAGUUUUCUUUUCAUGUGUGUAUGAAGCUGUGCAUUAUAUUUACUUUCCAGCAUCAGUGACACCAAAAGCUAAAAAGCUACUCACAAAAUCAGCUACCAAAAGUCAUUGCUGGAUUUGUUUCCUUUUGCUUUGCAUCUGCUUGGCUACCAUUUCUGAUAUAUUAGAGGAAUUUGUAAACACACAUAUCAAAGAAAUUAAUCAAAACAGCCUCGUGCUAUUGUGUAUAUUUGACCCACGGUGUUUAUUUAAUCUCUGGUCUACAUUACACCGGAAGCCAGAUUUUACGGAUUGACAAAAUUGCAAUCAAAGAUUGCAAAGACACAGUGUGACACAGCUCAGUGGCUGGCAGCGGGUGGCCACAGCAGCCUGGGAUAAAUGUUGGUUGUUCCCUGAAUAUACUGGUUUUCAUGCUCCAGUGUUUUCUUUCCUCUUCUCAGCCCUCAUCUGUGCACUCCUGCCCUUCUGCAGGUGACCUCUGGUGCUCAGUGGGAACCACGAUGAGGUCUGAGCUAAAUCACUGCUGACUCUAACUGCAGCCACAAUAACGUAGAGUGACACUAAGUUAUUACAGUAACUGCUAUCCUUAAAAUCUAUGAAACUGUGUGAAAUUUAUGAAUUGUGAAAGCAGUUGCAUACAUGAAUAAGACAAUUCACUUGAGUAAUCCUAAUUUUAGUGCUAUUGAUUGUGUAUUCCUUUGGAAGAAGAAAAUCCAUAUAUCGAUAAUCGUCAUCUCCGAAACCCACUAAAUUGAAUUAGCGUUAAUUCACAUUUCAUUAUAAUAUUAUUUUUAUCAAUCAUCUAGAGCCUGUUAUGUAACAAAGCUUGCAGUGUAUAACUGAGAGAGAGUGCCAGGAAAUUAAAUCAGAAAAAUUUAUAAAAUACAUUAUCUAUAUUAAACCUAUGAUUCUGCACAGAUAUUUAAAUUCAUCAUAAAACUGAUAUACAAUAUUCUAGAAGGAAGAAGAUUGCAUUUUGGUCAUAAAAGCACACAGAUUGGUCUCUUCCGUGCUAUCAUGCCCACUCUUAUCUUUCUCUCCUUACAGAUGGGAGGCAUGAGGGAUGACUGUAGAUGUACACUUUCUGUAUUUUCCUCAAUAUCUUUCAAAAGCAAAAUUGCAUUAACCAAAAUAGUAAGGAAUUCUAUGCAUUCUCACUAUUUAUGUAGAGUGAAAAAUAAUUAUAUGCCACCAAAUCCCAAAGAUCUUUAGGGUGGGGGCAGGUGGGGGGAGGGUUCAGAGUGUUGCCAAAGUCCUAUUCAUAGUGCUAUCCACUGAACCCAGGAUUUAUUUAAUAGUUGCAGUUUCUUGCCUGGUGUAUAUGGAUCCUAGAAAAGUCAGUUAUAACUUCAAUUUAAACAAAAGUUUCUAUCUUCUUCUAUGUAAAAUAAUUGCUAUAGCUCAAAGUUAUCAGUUGUACCUAAUAUCAGCUCUCAAAAGUUUCUGAAAUUUUGAAAAAUACGACGUUAUUUACCUUGAUUUUCUGAGUGCAUCAGCUAUGAGUCAUUUCACCCCUGAUAAAAUGGAGGCACUUGUAAGCAGACCCCUGUCUCCUCCUAA
This is a long non-coding RNA of Anas platyrhynchos (mallard), 2080 nucleotides long. RefSeq lists it as uncharacterized. Lineage: Eukaryota; Metazoa; Chordata; Aves; Anseriformes; Anatidae. The record is from RefSeq and is a predicted model, not a curated record.